This 657-nucleotide long non-coding RNA is filed under the name Panax ginseng (ginseng). Its description in RNAcentral is "long non-coding RNA (PGIN_LNC007491)". The record is from RNAcentral. Lineage: Eukaryota; Viridiplantae; Streptophyta; Magnoliopsida; Apiales; Araliaceae.
UUUAUUGAUUGCUUCAAUCCAUUUCGGGGUGAUGCUAGAUAGUGUGAUUUAGUCCAUUCUUGUGCACACCAGCAAUCUAUUUAGCAUAUUGUUAUGCCAUAAAUCUGACCUUGCUCGCUCUUUGGCAUUAUCUGCUGUCGUCUAUUUUGUUGUGGCCUAUACUUGAAUCCAGGCAGAAAUCCCUGUUUUGAGUGUUGUGUAGGAUUACAGAAUCAUUCUUCUAGUUAAAAUUAUCAUGAGCUUUUUCCUAUAUGGACCAGUGGUGGUUCAAAUCUCAAUCAGGAUUGCACUACGGAUGAGCCUUGGAUUUACUGGUGUGGAGGAUAAGUUGGUUUGUUCUUGCGCUCUAUUUGGAUUUCUACUGCUUCUUACUUGUGUCAAUAUCUUCAUUCUAUGCUCUUGAGUUAUUGAUCUAUGAAGUCGUUCUGGCAUGCUUUAUUGAUUUGUUUGGAUUGGCAUAUAAUUGCAGGGGUAUAUAGAAGAUUAGCGUGCUCGCCUGUAUGAUAUUCUUAGCUGGUGGGUUGAUAUGCUGUUCAUCAAAAGUUUUAUUUCUCAUCUGAAGUUGAACAAGGGAUGUGUUUUGUGGGUUGCAAAAAUUAACCCGAUUGUAACUAUUCCCUUCCCUGUUUUUGGUGUUAAUUAACAUGUCAGACGUUG